AACGCACGAGACCUGCGGACCUGCGGAAGGAUCAUUAAUGAGAAACUGCCCCUCGCGGGUAGAUCUCCCACCCUUUGUAAACUUACCUUUGUUGCUUUGGCAGGCCCGUCUCCGGACCGCCGGCUUCGGCUGGCCAGUGCCUGCCAGAGGAUUCUAAAACUCUGUCUGUCAGUGUUGUCUGAGUCUAUUUACAAUCGUUAAAACUUUUAGCAAUGGAUCUCUAGAUCGGAAGAGCACACG
This 240-nucleotide unclassified non-coding RNA is filed under the name soil metagenome. RNAcentral's name for it is "partial contains 5.8S ribosomal RNA, internal transcribed spacer 2, and large subunit ribosomal RNA". The record is from RNAcentral.